UCCUACGGGGGGCAGCAGUGGGGAAUAUUGCACAAUGGGCGCAAGCCUGAUGCAGCGACGCCGCGUGAGUGAAGAAGUAAUUCGUUAUGUAAAGCUCUAUCAGCAGGGAAGAAAAUGACGGUACCUGAGUAAGAAGCCCCGGCUAACUACGUGCCAGCAGCCGCGGUAAUACGUAGGGGGCAAGCGUUAUCCGGAUUUACUGGGUGUAAAGGGAGCGUAGACGGCAGUGCAAGUCUGGAGUGAAAGGCGGUGGUCAAACCCCGG
RNAcentral lists this ribosomal RNA (264 nucleotides) under uncultured bacterium. RNAcentral describes it as "partial 16S ribosomal RNA". It matches the Rfam family "Bacterial small subunit ribosomal RNA", at positions 337 to 618 of the family's 1533-position model. The record is from RNAcentral.